ACACUCCUGCGGGAGGCAGCAGUGGGGAAUUUUGGACAAUGGGCGAAAGCCUGAUACAGCAAUGCCGCGUGAGUGAAGAAGGCCUUCGGGUUGUAAAGCUCUUUUGUCAGGGAAGAAACGGUGAAAGCUAAUAUCUUUUGCUAAUGACGGUACCUGAAGAAUAAGCACCGGCUAACUACGUGCAAGCAGCCGCGGUAAUACGUAGGGUGCAAGCGUUAAUCGGAAUUACUGGGCGUAAAGCGUGCGCAGGCGGUUUUGUAAGUCUGAUGUGAAAUCCCCGGGCUCAACCUGGGAAUUGCAUUGGAGACUGCAAGGCUAGAAUCUGGCAGAGGGGGGUAGAAUUCCACGUGUAGCAGUGAAAUGCGUAGAUAUGUGGAGGAACACCGAUGGCGAAGGCAGCCCCCUGGGUCAAGAUUGACGCUCAUGCACGAAAGCGUGGGGAGCAAACAGGAUUAGAUACCCCUGUAGUCCCAUGAU
Molecule: ribosomal RNA, 477 nt
Filed under: uncultured organism
Description: partial 16S ribosomal RNA
Rfam family: Bacterial small subunit ribosomal RNA
Source: RNAcentral